AGGUAAGUGGAUCUUACGCUCCUUAUUUAUUUUUAAAUUUUCAUAAUUUUUAUGCAUAUACUCUUUUAUUAAUGAAAUCAUAUUUUUAUAAAAUAAGGAUCAGCAUAUGUGGUAUGAAAAAAGUAUGUUUUAUUAUAAGUAUUGAUUUUAUGAAUAUAUCUUAUGAAAAUAGCAUGAUUAUGAAGAAUGAAUUUUAUUAUUUUUUUUCAUUAUAUAUAUAUAU
This 223-nucleotide long non-coding RNA is filed under the name Elaeis guineensis (African oil palm). RNAcentral describes it as "long non-coding RNA (EGUI_LNC007442)". Lineage: Eukaryota; Viridiplantae; Streptophyta; Magnoliopsida; Arecales; Arecaceae. The record is from RNAcentral.